UCCACAGUAGCUCAGUGGUAGAGCUAUCGGCUGUUAACCGAUCGGUCGUAGGUUCGAGUCCUACCU
Molecule: transfer RNA, 66 nt
Filed under: Staphylococcus aureus DAR3178
Lineage: Bacteria; Bacillati; Bacillota; Bacilli; Caryophanales; Staphylococcaceae
Description: tRNA-Asn
Rfam family: tRNA
About the family: Transfer RNA (tRNA) molecules are approximately 80 nucleotides in length. Their secondary structure includes four short double-helical elements and three loops (D, anti-codon, and T loops).
Source: RNAcentral